UACGAGUGCCCAAGCGUUAUCCGGAAUUAUUGGGCGUAAAGGGUGUGUAGGUGGUUUGUUAGUCUUCUGUUAAGCUCCCGGCUUAACCGGGAAGUGCAGAGGAACGGCAAGACUAGAGGAUGUGAGGGUCUAUGGAACUCAUGGUGUAGGGGUGAAAUCCGUUGAUAUCAUGGGAACACCAAAAGCGAAGGCAAUAGACUGGCGCAUUCCUGACACUGAACACGAAGCGUGGUAGCGAAUGGG
Molecule: ribosomal RNA, 243 nt
Filed under: uncultured bacterium
Lineage: Bacteria
Description: partial 16S ribosomal RNA
Rfam family: Bacterial small subunit ribosomal RNA
Source: RNAcentral